AGUUGAUGUGUGGGGCAAUCCCCAGUCUGGGCUCUCUGAACUCAGGCAGGAUGGCCCUGACUUUUAACAAACUAGAACCAGAGCCAAGUCCUCAGGGACUCCUGGCAAACUUUUGGAGUGAUGGGGUAUGUAGUGUACUGUCAAAAACAUCUGCUGUGCAAGCUCUUUACCUGUGCACUGCUACCUAUCUUGAAGACUGGUUCACUGAUGAUGUCAUGGACAUUAGAAAUACAGUCUUUUGAUUCCCACAAUACCUACGCAGUCCACAAAGGAGUGUCCUUGGAUCCUUUGGAGUUAUCCGUGAGUCACUGUGUGUGGGUGCUGAGAUCUAAACUCCUGUAUUCUGUUGGAGCAGAAAGUGCUAACAUUGAUCCAUUGCUCUACUCCUUAUUUAAAAAAAAUUAUAAGAAAUAUCACAGUGGUUUUAUUUUCUCUGUGUGGUGUGAUUUAGAGUGUUUGGUUAAGAUGUCUUUAAUAGGUUUCGUUUAAUAAUCAAAGGAAGACCAAUAGUAUGAAAAACGUCAUGAAGCUCUUUAUGUGCCAUUCUACUCACGGAUAGUUUUACUCUUUCACCUGUAGGUAAAAUUUAGGUCUGAGUCUCUCUCAAGGAGACUGUUGAGAGAGUCUCUUUCACAGAAAUUUUUGUAGACCAUUUUUCUAACCAAAAUAUAGCAUACUUCUUUGAAGUGUAAGUUUUUACUUUCAUUGGAAACUCAGUUGUAUAACUGAUGUUGUUCUGGAAGCUGUCUUAUAAGGCCAAACAGAUGCUUGAGGAGAUUUUUGCUGAAAGAGGCAUGCGAGAUGUGUUGCAGAUGGAGAUAAAUGAGAGGGUCCGUGAUAUUUGGAAAGAGUAUUAGUAGAACCCCACAGUCAAUGAAAGGACUCUCUUACAUUUCUACACCUUGCAAUGGUUUGCUGGUCUCUGCUGGUCUUUACUUCGUAGAGAGAAGCAUGCGAGGUAUUCCUGCUGAUUCUGCUCACUUCGGCUGACUCCUGGCAGUUCAGGGGAAGUGCCCUUGCAGUUUUGGCUGGAUGGAGCUGCCACUACUGGCCCUGUGCUCUGGGACUGAACUGCUAGUAUCCUGACAAUAAAGAGUGAAAUUGCGGGAAAGGGCGGCUCAGGUCCUCCUGGUUGCUGCCCUCCCGGAGAGCUCAUGAGCAACACCCCACCAGCAAACUUGAGCCUUGGGACCACAGGUAAGACCAUCUUUUCUGCUCCAAGCGACCUGACUGGUGGCCUUAGGACACACAGAGGCAAAAUUCCUCUAGGACCUGACCCUUCCGGUUUUUAGCAGGAUUCCCACCUCGAGAACCCCGCCCCCAGCUCACUGCUCCCAAACCCUGUGGGAGAGAGAGCUCUCCACCCUGACAGGUAGGCACUCCUGAGACUGCAGAGCAGAAGAGACCACCAACACUGCCCACCCCUGCCCACAUCCCUGGCCCAAAAGGAAACUGUAUACGGCCUCUGGGAUCCUGUAGAUAUGGGCACUGGAGCAGCAGGUCCCCGGACCGAGACACCUCCGGAACCUGAAGGGACCGACCAGAAAAAGAGUUCUCUGCAGCCAAAUCCCAUGGGAGGGAGAGCUAAACCUUCAGAGAGGCAGACAUGCCUGGGAAGCCAGAAGAGACUACAUUCUGCCGACCAUUUCUGACUCCAGAGGAAAACACCAAAGGCCAUCUGGAACCCUGGUGCACGGGGGCUCCUGGAAAGGGCAGCGCAGGUCCUCCUGGUUGCUGCCCUUGCGGAGAGCUCAUAAAAAACACCCCACAAGGAAACUUCAGCCUCGGGACCACAGGUAAGACCAACUUUUCUGCUCCAAGAGACCUGACUGGUGAACUCAGGACACAGGCCCACAGGAACACCUGAAGACCUGUAGAUAGGAAAAACUACAUGCCCAGAAGCAGAAGACUCUGUUCCCAUAACUGGCUAAAAGAAAACAGGAAAACAGGUCUACAGCACUCCUGACACAGGCUUAUCAGACAGUCUAGCCACUGUCAGAAAUAGCAGAACAAAGUAAAACCAGAGAUAAUCUGAUGGCAAGAGGCAAGCACAGGAACCCAAGCAAUAGAAACCAAGACUAGAUGGCAUCAUUGGAACCCAAUUCUCCCACCAAAGCAAACAGUGAACAUCCAAACACACCAGAAAAACAAGAUCUAGAUUCAAAAUCAUAUUUGAUCACAAUGCUGGAGGACUUCAAGAAAGACAUGAAGAACUCCCUUAGAGAAAUGCAGGAAAACAUAAAUAAACAAGUAGAAGCCUAUAGAGAGGAAUCACAAAAAUCCCUGAAAGAAUUCCAGAAAAACACAAUCAAACAGUUGAAGGAAUUAAAAAUGGAAAUAGAAGCAAUCAAGAAAGAACACAUGGAAACAACCCUGGAUAUAGAAAACCAAAGGAAGAGACAAGGAGCUGUAGAUACAAGCAUCACCAACAGAAUAAAAGAGAUAGAAGAGAGAAUCUCAGGAGCAGAAGAUUCCAUAGAAAUCAUCGACACAACUGUCAAAGAUAAUGUAAAGCAGAAAAAGCUACUGGUCCAAAACAUACAGGAAAUCCAGGACUCAAUGAGAAUAUCAAACCUAAGGAGAAUAGGUAUAGAAGAAAGUGAAGACUCACAGCUCAAAGGACCAGUAAACAUCUUCAACAAAAUCAUAGAAGAAAACUUCCCUAACCUAAAGAAAGAGAUGCCCAUAAGCAUACAAAAAGCCUACAGAACUCCAAAUAGAUUGGACCAGAAAAGAAACAACUCCCGUCACAUAAUAGUCAAAACACCAAAUGCACAAAAUAAAGAAAGAAUAUUAAAAGCAGUAAGGGAAAAAGGUCAAGUAACAUGAAAAGGCAGACCUAUCAGAAUCACACCAGACUUUUCGCCAGAGACUAUGAAAGCCAGAAGAUCCUGGAUAGAUGUCAUACAGACCCUAAGAGAACACAAAUGCCAGCCCAGGUUACUGUAUCCUGCAGAACUCUCAAUUAACAUAAAUGGAGAUAUUCCAUGACAAACCAAAUUUACACAAUAUCUUUCUACAAAUCCAGCACCACAAAGGAUAAUAUAUGGUAAAGCCCAACAUAAGGAGGCAAGAUACACCCUAGAAAAAGUAAGAAACUAAUCGUCUUGGCAACAAAACAAAGAGAAGAAAAGCACACAAACAUAACCUCACAUCCAAAUAUGAAUAUAACAGGAAGCAAUAAUCACUGUUCCUUAAUAUCUCUCAACAUCAGUGGUCUCAACUCCCCAAUAAAAAGACAUAGAUUAACAAACUGGAUACGCAAUGAGGACCCUGCAUUCUGUUGCCUACAGGAAACACACCUCAGAGACAAAGACAGACACUACCUCAGAGUGAAAGGCUAGAAAACAACUUUCCAAGCAAAUGGUCAGAAGAAGCAAGCUGGAGUAGCCAUUCUAAUAUCGAAUAAAAUCAAUUUUCAACUAAAACUCAUCAAAAACGAUAACGAAGGACACUUCAUAUUCAUCAAAGGAAAAAUCCACCAAGAUGAAAUCUCAAUCCUAAAUAUCUAUGCCCCAAAUAUAAGGGCACCUACAUACGUAAAGGAAACCUUACUAAAGCUCAAAACACACAUUGCACCUCAGACAAUAAUAGUAGGUAAUUUCAACACCCCAUCUCAUCAAUAGAUAGGUUAUGGAAACAGAAAUUAAACAGAGAUGUAGACAGACUAAGAGAAGUCAUGAACCAAAAGGACUUAACAGAUAUUUAUAGAACAUUCUAUCCUAAAGCAAAAGGAUAUACAUUCUUCUCAGCUCCUCAUAGUACUUUCUCCAAAAUUGACUAUAUAAUAGGUCAAAAAACGGGCCUCAACAGGUACAGAAAGAUAGAAAUAAUCCCAUGCAUACUAUCGGACCACCACGGCCUAAAACUGGUCUUCAAUAACAAUAAGGGAAGAACGCCCACAUAUAAGUGGAAAUUGAACAAUGCUCUAUUCAAUGAUAACCUGGUCAAGGAAGAAAUAAAGAAAGAAAUUAAAGACUUUUUAGAAUUUAAUGAAAAUGAAGGUACAACAUACCCAAACUUAUGGGACACAAUGAAAGCUGUGCUAAGAGGAAAACUCAUAGCGCAGAGUGCCUGCAGAAAGAAACAGGAGAGAGCAUAUGUCAGCAGCUUGACAGCAUACCUAGAAGCUCUAGAACAAAAA
Rattus norvegicus (Norway rat) is the source of this 4144-nucleotide non-coding RNA. Lineage: Eukaryota; Metazoa; Chordata; Mammalia; Rodentia; Muridae. The record is from RefSeq and is a predicted model, not a curated record.